AUUGAACGCUGGCGGCAGGCCUAACACAUGCAAGUCGAACGAGUGGCGGACGGGAGAGCAAUGUCUGGGAAACGGCCUGAUGGAGGGGGAUAACUACUGGAAACGGAAGCUAAUACCGCAUACCAUCGGAUGUGCCCAGAUGGGAUUAGCUAGUAGGUGGGGGAACGGCUCACCUAGGCGACGAUCCCUAGCUGGUCUGAGAGGAUGACCAGCAACACUGGAACUGAGACACGGUCCAGACUCCUACGGGAGGCAGCAGUGGUGAAUAUUGCACAAUGGGCGCAAGCCUGAUGCAGCCAUGCCGCGUGUAUGAAGAAGGCCUUCGGGUUGUAAAGUACUUUCAGCGGGGAGGCGUUACCCGCAGAAGAAGCACCGGCUAACUCCGUGCCAGCAGCCGCGGUAAUUC
RNAcentral lists this ribosomal RNA (406 nucleotides) under uncultured bacterium. Its description in RNAcentral is "partial 16S ribosomal RNA". It matches the Rfam family "Bacterial small subunit ribosomal RNA", at positions 30 to 526 of the family's 1533-position model. The record is from RNAcentral.